This 1029-nucleotide ribosomal RNA is filed under the name uncultured bacterium. Its description in RNAcentral is "bacterial SSU rRNA". It matches the Rfam family "Bacterial small subunit ribosomal RNA", at positions 338 to 1326 of the family's 1533-position model. The record is from RNAcentral.
CCUACGGGAGGGAGCAGUGAGGAAUAUUGGACAUAUGGAUGGAAAGUCUGGCAUCCAGCCAUGCCGCGUGCAGGAAGACGGCCCUAUGGGUUUGUAAACCUGCUUUUGUAUGGGAGCAAUAAGGUCUAUGCGUUAGCACUAGAUGAGAGUAACCCCCAUACGAAUAAGCAUCGGCUAACUCCGUGCCAGCAGUCCGCGGUAUACUACGGGGGAUGCAUGGCCGUUAUCCGGAUUUAUUGGGUUUCAAAGGGUGCGUAGGCGGUUUGAUAAGUCAGCGGUGAAAGUAUUUCAAGCUUAACUGAAAGGGUGCCGUUCGAUACUGUCAGGCAUUGAAUAUGCCUCUGCUGUGGGUGGAAUGUGUGGUGUAGCGGUGAUAAUGAUUCUUAGAUAUCACACAGAAUAUCGAUUGCGAAGGCAGCUCACAAAGCCAUUAUUGACGCUGAUGCUCCAAAGUGUGGGGAUCAAACAGGAUUAGAUACCCUUGGUAGUCCACACUGUAAACGAUGAUAACUCGCUGUCGGCGAUACACAGUCGGUAGCCAAAGCGAAAGCGAUAAGUUAUCCACCUGGGGAGUACGACCGCAAGGUUGAAACUCAAAGGAAUUGACGGGGGCCCGCACAAGCGGAGGAACAUGUGGUUUAAUUCGAUGAUACGCGAGGAACCUUACCCGGGCUCGAACGGUGCAGGAAUGCGUCAGAGAUGAUGUAGCUAGCAAUAGUCUGUAUCGAGGUGCUGCAUGGUUGUCGUCAGCUCGUGCCGUGAGGUGUCAGCCUUAAGUGCCAUAACGAGCGCAACCCUUUGUCAUUAGUUGCCAUCACGGUAAUGCUGGGGAACUCUAGCGAAACUGCCACCGCUAAGGUGUGAGGAAGGGGGGGAUGACCUCAAAUCAGACACGACCCUUACGUCCAGGGGCGACACACCUCGUUUACAAUGGUAGGGUACAAAGGGCAGCUACCCAAGCAAUGGGGUGCGAAUCUCACAAAGCCUAUCUCACUUCGGAUCGGAGUCUGCAACUCUACUCCGUAAAGU